GCUGGGCAUGGUGGUGCAUGCCUGUAAUCCCAGCUACUAGGGAGGCUGAGGUGGGAGGAUCACUUGAGCCCAGGAGUUUGAGGCUCCAGUGAGCCACUGGAGCCACAUCACUGCACUCCAGCCUGGGCAACAGAGCGAGGCUCCAUCUCAA
This is a non-coding RNA of Gorilla gorilla gorilla (western lowland gorilla), 151 nucleotides long. It matches the Rfam family "Metazoan signal recognition particle RNA". Rfam says of the family: The signal recognition particle (SRP) is a universally conserved ribonucleoprotein. It is involved in the co-translational targeting of proteins to membranes. The eukaryotic SRP consists of a 300-nucleotide 7S RNA and six proteins: SRPs 72, 68, 54, 19, 14, and 9. The record is from Rfam. Lineage: Eukaryota; Metazoa; Chordata; Mammalia; Primates; Hominidae.